Molecule: ribosomal RNA, 468 nt
Filed under: uncultured bacterium
Lineage: Bacteria
Description: partial 16S ribosomal RNA
Rfam family: Bacterial small subunit ribosomal RNA
Source: RNAcentral
GACGAACGCUGGCGGCGUGCUUAACACAUGCAAGUCGAACGGAAAGGCCCUGCUUUUGUGGUGUGCUCGAGUGGCGAACGGGUGAGUAACACGUGAGUAACCUGCCCUUGACUUUGGGAUAACUUCAGGAAACUGGGGCUAAUACCGGAUAGGAGCUCCUGCUGCAUGGUGGGGGUUGGAAAGUUUCGGCGGUUGGGGAUGGACUCGCGGCUUAGCAGCUUGUUGGUGGGGUAGUGGCUUACCAAGGCUUUGACGGGUAGCCGGCCUGAGAGGGUGACCGGCCACAUUGGGACUGAGAUACGGCCCGGACUCCUACGGGAGGCAGCAGUGGGGAAUAUUGCACGAUGGGCGGAGGCCUGAUGCAGCAACGCCGCGUGCGGGAUGACGGCCUUCGGGUUGUAAACCGCUUGCGCCUGUGACGAAGCGUGAGUGACGGUAAUGGGUAAAGAAGCACCGGCUAACUACGUG